UGAAUACGAGACGCUAAGGCGUCGAAGUAGUGUAUGUCAUACUUCCAGGAAAAGCUUGCACUGUCAUAAGUAAAAAAUGCCUGUACCAUAACCGACACAGGUGGGUAGGUAGAGUAUACUAAGGGGCGCGAGAUAACUCUCUCUAAGGAACUCGGCAAAAUAACUCCGUAACUUCGGGAGAAGGAGUACCUUAUUCUAUAAGGUUGCAAUAACAAGAUCCAAGCAACUGUUUAUCAAAAACACAGGUCUCCGCUAAGUCGUAAGACGAUGUAUGGGGGCUGACGCCUGCCCAGUGCCAGAAGGUUAAAGAAGUCGGUUAGCAUUAGCGAAGCUGGUAACUGAAGCCCUGGUGAACGGCGGCCGUAACGAUAACGGUCCUAAGGUAGCGAAAUUCCUUGUCGGGUAAGUUCCGACCCGCACGAAAGGCGUAAUGAUUUGGAUACUGUCUCGGAGAGGGGCUCGGUGAAAUAGACUUGUCUGUGAAGAUGCGGACUACCUGCACCAGGACAGAAAGACCCUAUGAAGCUUUACUGUAACUUGAAAUUGAAAUUGGACUUUAUUCGCGCAGUAUAGGUGGGAGGUGUUGAUUAUAAUCUUGCGGGAUUAUUGGAGCCAUCAGUGAGAUACCACUCUUGUAAUGUUAGAUUUCUAACUUUGAAUCAUUAUCUGGUCAAAGGACAGUUUCAGGCGGGCAGUUUGACUGGGGCGGUCGCCUCCCAAACGGUAACGGAGGCGUACAAAGGUUUCCUCUGAACGGGUAGAAAUCGUAUCUAGAGUGUAAAGGCAUAAGGAAGCUUGACUGUGAGACCUACAAGUCGAACAGGGACGAAAGUCGGUCUUAGUGAUCUGACGGUACUGAGUGGAAAGGCCGUCACUCAACGGAUAAAAGUUACUCUAAGGAUAACAGGCUGAUCUCCCCCAAGAGUUCGCGUCGACGGGGAGGUUUGGCACCUCGAUGUCGGCUCAUCGCAUCCUGGGGCGGUAGUACGUCCCAAGGGUUGGGCUGUUCGCCCAUGAAAGCGGUACGCGAGCUGGGUUCAGAACGUCGUGAGACAGUUCGGUCCAUAUCCGGUGUAGGCGUUAGAAUAUUGAGAGGAGCCUUCUUUAGUACGAGGGGACCGAGAAGGACAUACCUCUGGUGUACCAGUUAUCGUGCCAACGGUAAACGCUGGGUAGCUAUGUAUGGAGUGGAUAACCGCUGAAAGCAUCUAAGUGGGAAGCCCACCUCAAGAUAAGUAUUCUCA
This 1244-nucleotide ribosomal RNA is filed under the name metagenome. RNAcentral describes it as "bacterial LSU rRNA". It matches the Rfam family "Bacterial large subunit ribosomal RNA", at positions 1564 to 2816 of the family's 2925-position model. The record is from RNAcentral.